CUUAACCUACCCAAAAACUCCCGAGCAGGCCCGAAACCCUAAUUACCCCAGUAAGAUCUUGCUUGAUUUCAUUGUUGAAUUGAUGAUUUCUUUUACCUAACACGAGAAUUAAUGAUGUUCUAUUCUGAUAUACGAAGUAUUUAGAAUCAUUUUAUGAUUAUUUUAACACUUUAGAAUUGGAAAAUAGACGCUAAAAUUGAUGAUACGGUCAAGAUUUCUUUGUUGUUUUUCAUUUUUAACCCAGUAAAACCUGGUCCAGUUCACUCAGUUACUGGUUAAGCCUGCCAUAUGACCAGAUCCCCACCCACUUUUUAACUACAGCGAUUUUAGCAUGAACGGGAUUUGUGUUUCCCGGUCGAAAUCCGGCUUGUUUUUGACAAUAUUGCUUAACAUAUGGUCUAUGUAUUAUUUUGUCCACUUACCACACGUGAAAAGAGUAAUUG
RNAcentral lists this long non-coding RNA (443 nucleotides) under Olea europaea (common olive). Its description in RNAcentral is "long non-coding RNA (OEUR_LNC013263)". Lineage: Eukaryota; Viridiplantae; Streptophyta; Magnoliopsida; Lamiales; Oleaceae. The record is from RNAcentral.